GUUCUCGCUUCGGCAGAACAUACACUAAAAUUGGAGCAAUACAGAGAAGAUUAGCAUGGCCCCUUCACAAGGAUGAUAUGCAAAUCCAUGAAGCAUUCCAUAUUUUU
Small nuclear RNA from Ictidomys tridecemlineatus (thirteen-lined ground squirrel), 107 nucleotides. The record is from Ensembl. Lineage: Eukaryota; Metazoa; Chordata; Mammalia; Rodentia; Sciuridae.